This 482-nucleotide ribosomal RNA is filed under the name uncultured bacterium. RNAcentral's name for it is "partial 16S ribosomal RNA". It matches the Rfam family "Bacterial small subunit ribosomal RNA", at positions 30 to 507 of the family's 1533-position model. The record is from RNAcentral.
AUUGAACGCUGGCGGCAUGCCUUACACAUGCAAGUCGAACGGUAACAGGUCUUCGGAUGCUGACGAGUGGCGAACGGGUGAGUAAUACAUCGGAACGUGCCCGAUCGUGGGGGAUAACGAGGCGAAAGCUUUGCUAAUACCGCAUACGAUCUACGGAUGAAAGCGGGGGAUCUUCGGACCUCGCGCGGACGGAGCGGCCGAUGGCAGAUUAGGUAGUUGGUGGGAUAAAAGCUUACCAAGCCGACGAUCUGUAGCUGGUCUGAGAGGAGGAUCAGCCACACUGGGACUGAGACACGGCCCAGACUCCUACGGGAGGCAGCAGUGGGGAAUUUUGGACAAUAGGCGAAAGCCUGAUCCAGCCAUGCCGCGUGCAGGAUGAAGGCCUUCGGGUUGUAAACUGCUUUUGUACGGAACGAAAAGCCUCUUUCUAAUAAAGAGGGGUCAUGACGGUACCGUAAGAAUAAGCACCGGCUAACUACGUG